Molecule: microRNA precursor, 64 nt
Filed under: Tursiops truncatus (common bottlenose dolphin)
Lineage: Eukaryota; Metazoa; Chordata; Mammalia; Artiodactyla; Delphinidae
Description: miRNA (ENSTTRG00000024337.1)
Source: RNAcentral
UCUAGAGGCUGCAGAGGGCAUCUGCUUCUUGCCUGGUACUGGGAUGCCCUCUGUUGCUUAGAGA